ACCUUGAAAAACAGAAAAAAUUUCUGCAUCCUUUUGGUCGAAAAUUGCUGGGACUUGUUCUUUGGUUUCAUUGUUGUCAAUAGUUUAAGAGUUUCAGGAUUUCUGAGCUAUUUGGGUACUCUCAUGAAUCCCUGAACAAAAAUGAAGCAUGAAUUGCUGCCUUGAAGUUGAAACCACAAGAUUUAUUUUAGUUUGAUGUAUGCUUGUUUUCUCUCUUAUGUUUAUAGUUCUUUGUAAUUUGUUAAGUUGUUUAAAAAUGAUGUCUAGUGCUCAGUUCAGUCAUACUGUUAUGGAGCUGUUUGAUUGCUUCACAUGGGUUUGGACACGUUUUACCAUAUUCAGGGCUUGUAAUAUUUGGGGACUUUGUUUUUUAGAAUUGGUAAAUUAAAUGUUAUUUGUAUAGGUUUUAGCUGAA
This is a non-coding RNA of Nicotiana tabacum (common tobacco), 415 nucleotides long. The record is from RefSeq and is a predicted model, not a curated record. Lineage: Eukaryota; Viridiplantae; Streptophyta; Magnoliopsida; Solanales; Solanaceae.